UACGGGGGGAGCAAGCGUUGUUCGGAUUUACUGGGCGUAAAGGGCGCGUAGGCGGUCGUGACAAGUCACUUGUGAAAUCUCCCGGCUUAACUGGGAGGGUGCGGCGGAGACUGGAGUGCUAGAGUGUGGGAGAGGUAAGCGGAAUUCCUGGUGUAGCGGUGAAAUGCGUAGAUAUCAGGAGGAACACCUGUGGUGUAGACAGCUUACUGGACCACGACUGACGCUGAGACACGAAAGCGUGGGUAGCAAACAGG
This 254-nucleotide ribosomal RNA is filed under the name uncultured bacterium. RNAcentral describes it as "partial 16S ribosomal RNA". It matches the Rfam family "Bacterial small subunit ribosomal RNA", at positions 524 to 776 of the family's 1533-position model. The record is from RNAcentral.